RNAcentral lists this ribosomal RNA (301 nucleotides) under uncultured bacterium. RNAcentral's name for it is "partial 16S ribosomal RNA". It matches the Rfam family "Bacterial small subunit ribosomal RNA", at positions 509 to 809 of the family's 1533-position model. The record is from RNAcentral.
CAGCAGCCGCGGUAAUACGAAGGGGGCUAGCGUUGUUCGGAUUUACUGGGCGUAAAGCGCACGUAGGCGGAAAUUUAAGUCAGGGGUGAAAUCCCGAGGCUCAACCUCGGAACUGCCUUUGAUACUGGGUUUCUUGAGUCCGGAAGAGGUGAGUGGAACUGCGAGUGUAGAGGUGAAAUUCGUAGGUAUUCGCAAGAACACCAGUGGCGAAGGCGGCUCACUGGUCCGGAACUGACGCUGAGGUUCGAAAGCGUGGGGAGCAAACAGGAUUAGAUACCCCCGUAGUCCCUGUCUCUUAUAA